CAGCAGCCGCGGUAAUACAGAGGGUGCAAGCGUUAAUCGGAUUUACUGGGCGUAAAGGGCGCGUAGGUGGUUAUGUAAGUGAGAUGUGAAAUCCCCGGGCUCAACCUGGGAACUGCAUCUUAUACUGCGUAGCUGGAGUGCAGUAGAGGGUAGUGGAAUUUCCGGUGUAGCGGUGAAAUGCGUAGAUAUCGGAAGGAACACCUGUGGCGAAAGCGGCUCACUGGACCAUUACUGACGCUGAGGCGCGAAAGCUAGGGGAGCAAACAGGAUUAGAUACCCGCGUAGUCCCUGUCUCUUAUAC
RNAcentral lists this ribosomal RNA (301 nucleotides) under uncultured bacterium. RNAcentral's name for it is "partial 16S ribosomal RNA". It matches the Rfam family "Bacterial small subunit ribosomal RNA", at positions 509 to 807 of the family's 1533-position model. The record is from RNAcentral.